Molecule: ribosomal RNA, 460 nt
Filed under: uncultured bacterium
Lineage: Bacteria
Description: partial 16S ribosomal RNA
Rfam family: Bacterial small subunit ribosomal RNA
Source: RNAcentral
CCUACGGGCGGCAGCAGUGAGGAAUAUUGGUCAAUGGGCGCGAGCCUGAACCAGCCAAGUAGCGUGAAGGAUGACUGCCCUACGGGUUGUAAACUUCUUUUAUAAAGGAAUAAAGUGAGGCACGUGUGCCUUUUUGUAUGUACUUUAUGAAUAAGGAUCGGCUAACUCCGUGCCAGCAGCCGCGGUAAUACGGAGGAUCCGAGCGUUUUCCGGAUUUAUUGGGUUUAAAGGGAGCGUAGAUGGGUUGUUAAGUCAGUGGUGAAAGUUUGCGGCUCAACCGUAAAAUUGCAAUUGAUACUGGCGGCCUUGAGUACAGUUGAGGUAGGCGGAAUUCGUGGUGUAGCGGUGAAAUGCUUAGAUAUCACGAAGAACUCCGAUUGCGAAGGCAGCUUACUAAACUGCAACUGACAUUGAUGCUCGAAAGUGUGGGUAUCAAACAGGAUUAGAUACCCCAGUAGUC